GUGUUGUGUGUGUGUUCAAGGGCGCACGGUGGAUGCCUUGGCAUGGAAGGCCGAUGAAGGACGUGAGAGGCUGCGUUAAGCCUCGGGGAGCUGCCAACUGAGCGUUGAUCCGAGGGUGUCCGAAUGGGGAAACCUGGCCGUCGUUAUGGGCGGUCGCCCGCAUCUGAAUUCAUAGGGUGCGUGGUGGUGACGCGGGGAAGUGAAACAUCUCAGUACCCGCAGGAAGAGAAAACAAUUGUGAUUCCGUUAGUAGUGGCGAACGAACGCGGAUGAUGGCUAAACCGCGCGCGUGUGAUACCGGUCAGGGGUUGCGCGUGUGGUGUUGUGGGGCCGCCCGUGGUGGGAGCUGACUGUCCUGCCCGGGGUGUGGAUGUGUUAGCGGAAAGUGCGUGGAAUCGCCUGCCGUAGACGGUGAGAGCCCGGUACGUGAAAGCAUGUUCAUAUCCUGUGUGGCGUGAUCCCCGAGUAGCAGCGGGCUCGUGGAAUCCGCUGUGAAUCCGCCGGGACCACCCGGUAAGCCUGAAUACCUUCCGUGACCGAUAGCGGAUAGUACCGUGAGGGAAUGGUGAAAAGUACCCCGGGAGGGGAGUGAAAUAGUACCUGAAACCGUGUGCCUACAAUCCGUCAGAGCCUCCGUGUGGGGUGAUGGCGUGCCUUUUGAAGAAUGAGCCUGCGAGUCAGCGGCAUGUCGCGAGGUUAACCCUUUUGGUGGGGUAGCCGUAGCGAAAGCGAAUCCUAACGAGGGUGUUUUAGUGGCAUGUCCUGGACCCGAAGCGGGGUGAUCUACCCAUGGCCAGUGUGAAGCGAUGGUAAGACGUCGUGGAGGCGCGAACCCACUUAGGUUGAAAACUGAGGGGAUGAGCUGUGGGUAGGGGUGAAAGGCCAAUCAAACUCCGUGAUAGCUGGUUCUCCCCGAAAUGCAUUUAGGUGCAGCGUCGUGCGUUUCCUCCUGGAGGUAGAGCUACUGGUUGGUUUAGCGGGACUAUCAUCUUAGCGACAUCAGCCAAACUCCGAAUGCCGGUGAGGUCAGAGCACGGCAGUGAGACUGCGGGGGAUAAGCUUCGUAGUCGAGAGGGAAACAGCCCAGAUCGCCGGCUAAGGCCCCUAAGGGUAUGCUAAGUGGAAAAGGAUGUGGGAUCGCGAAGACAACCAGGAGGUUGGCUUAGAAGCAGCCACCCUUGAAAGAGUGCGUAAUAGCUCACUGGUCGAGUGGUCCCGCGCCGACAAUGUAGUGGGGCUCAAGCAUACCGCCGAAGCCGCGGCAGUGCGCCCUCGUGGCGUGCUGGGUAGGGGAGCGUCGUGUACGUGCUGUGAAGCCGCAGGGGUGACCCGUGGUGGAGCGUGCACGAGUGAGAAUGCAGGCAUGAGUAGCGAAUGAGGAGUGGAAACCUCCUCCGCCGAAUGACCAAGGGUUCCUGGGUCAAGCUAAUCUUCCCAGGGUGAGUCGGGACCUAAGGCGAGGCCGACAGGCGUAGUCGAUGGACAACGGGUUGAUAUUCCCGUACCCGUGAUAUCGCGCCCCUGGUGAAUCAGUGAUACUAACCCUCCUGAAGCGCAUCCGCCGCCGGCCCUUCGGGGCCGGCAUCCGCGGGCGCGUGGAUGCAGGGGACCUGAGCUGGUAGUAGCCAAGCGAUGGGGUGACGCAGGACGGUAGCCGUGCCACCGGAUGGAAGUGGUGGUGCAAGCGUGUAGCCCGCGGGCCAGGUAAAUCCGGCCCGCGCUUGAAGGGUGAGACGUGACGCGUACCCGUAGUGGGGACGUCGGUGAUCCGAUGCUGCCGAGAAAAGCCUCUAGCGAUGUGAUGUCAUGGCCCGUACCCCAAACCGACACAGGUGGUCAGGUAGAGAAUACCGAGGCGAUCGGGAUAACUGUGGUUAAGGAACUCGGCAAAAUGCCCCCGUAACUUCGGGAGAAGGGGGGCCGCGGCCGGUGACCCGCCUAGCGUGGCGAGCCGGCUUCGGCCGCAGAGAAUAGAGGGAAGCGACUGUUUACUAAAAACACAGGUCCGUGCGAAGACGGGUAAGUCGAGGUAUACGGACUGACGCCUGCCCGGUGCUGGAAGGUUAAGAGGACCUGUUAGAUCACGUAAGUGGUCGAAGCGGAGAAUUUAAGCCCCAGUAAACGGCGGUGGUAACUAUAACCAUCCUAAGGUAGCGAAAUUCCUUGUCGGGUAAGUUCCGACCUGCACGAAUGGCGUAACGACUUCCCUGCUGUCUCAACCACAGGCCCGGCGAAAUUGCAGUACGAGUAAAGAUGCUCGUUACGCGCGGCAGGACGAAAAGACCCCGGGACCUUCACUAUAGCUUGGCAUUGGUGUUCGGUUCGGUUUGUGUAGGAUAGGUGGGAGACUGUGAGGCGGCCACGCCAGUGGUCGUGGAGUCGUUGUUGAAAUACCACUCUGAUCGGAUUGGAUGUCUAACCUUGGCCCGUUAUCCGGGUCGGGGACAGUGCCUGGUGGGUAGUUUAACUGGGGCGGUUGCCUCCUAAAGAGUAACGGAGGCGCCCAAAGGUUCCCUCAGCCUGGUUGGCAAUCAGGUGUUGAGUGUAAGUGCACAAGGGAGCUUGACUGUGAGACUGACAGGUCGAGCAGGUACGAAAGUAGGGACUAGUGAUCCGGCACUGGCUUGUGGAAGCGGUGUCGCUCAACGGAUAAAAGGUACCCCGGGGAUAACAGGCUGAUCUUCCCCAAGAGUCCAUAUCGACGGGAUGGUUUGGCACCUCGAUGUCGGCUCGUCGCAUCCUGGGGCUGGAGUAGGUCCCAAGGGUUGGGCUGUUCGCCCAUUAAAGCGGCACGCGAGCUGGGUUUAGAACGUCGUGAGACAGUUCGGUCUCUAUCCGCCGCGCGCGUGGAAACUUGAGGAAGGCUGUCCCUAGUACGAGAGGACCGGGACGGACGUACCUCUGGUGUGCCAGUUGUCCCGCCAGGGGCAUGGCUGGUUGGCUACGUACGGAAGGGAUAACCGCUGAAAGCAUCUAAGCGGGAAGCCUGUUCCAAGAUCAGGUUUCUUUUGAGGUCCCCAGCAGACUACUGGGUUGAUAGGCCGGAUCUGGAAGCACCGCAAGGUGUGGAGGUGACCGGUACUAAUAGACCGACCACACCACAACCCCCCA
Molecule: ribosomal RNA, 3111 nt
Filed under: Corynebacterium sphenisci DSM 44792
Lineage: Bacteria; Bacillati; Actinomycetota; Actinomycetes; Mycobacteriales; Corynebacteriaceae
Description: bacterial LSU rRNA
Rfam family: Bacterial large subunit ribosomal RNA
Source: RNAcentral